AGUGAACGCUGGCGGUAGGCCUAACACAUGCAAGUCGAACGGCAGCACAGUAAGAGCUUGCUCUUACGGGUGGCGAGUGGCGGACGGGUGGGGAAUACAUCGGAAUCUACUUUUUCGUGGGGGAUAACGUAGGGAAACUUACGCUAAUACCGCAUACGACCUACGGGUGAAAGCAGGGGAUCUUCGGACCUUGCGCGAUUGAAUGAGCCGAUGUCGGAUUAGCUAGUUGGCGGGGUAAAGGCCCACCAAGGCGACGAUCCGUAGCUGGUCUGAGAGGAUGAUCAGCCACACUGGAACUGAGACACGGUCCAGACUCUUACGGGAGGCAGCAGUGGGGAAUAUUGGACAAUGGGCGCAAGCCUGAUCCAGCCAUACCGCGUGGGUGAAGAAGGCCUUCGGGUUGUAAAGCCCUUUUGUUGGGAAAGAAAAGCAGCAGGUUAAUACCCCGCUGUUCUGACGGUACCCAAAGAAUAAGCACCGGCUAACUUCGUG
This 492-nucleotide ribosomal RNA is filed under the name uncultured bacterium. Its description in RNAcentral is "partial 16S ribosomal RNA". It matches the Rfam family "Bacterial small subunit ribosomal RNA", at positions 29 to 507 of the family's 1533-position model. The record is from RNAcentral.